RNAcentral lists this ribosomal RNA (657 nucleotides) under uncultured Campylobacterota bacterium. RNAcentral describes it as "bacterial SSU rRNA". It matches the Rfam family "Bacterial small subunit ribosomal RNA", at positions 73 to 749 of the family's 1533-position model. Lineage: Bacteria; Pseudomonadati; Campylobacterota. The record is from RNAcentral.
GAGGAGCUUGCUCUUCCUGAUUAGUGGCGCACGGGUGAGUAUACCAUAGAUAAUGUACCCCUUAGUUCGGGAUAGCCACUGGAAACGGUGAUUAAUACCGGAUACUCCUUCUUGUCUUAAGGCAAGUCGGGAAAGUUUUUUCGCUAAGGGAUCAGUCUAUGUCCUAUCAGCUUGUUGGUGAGGUAAUGGCUCACCAAGGCUAUGACGGGUAUCUGGUUUGAGAGGAUGAUCAGACACACUGGAACUGAGACACGGUCCAGACUCCUACGGGAGGCAGCAGUGAGGAAUAUUGCACAAUGGAGGAAACUCUGAUGCAGCAACGCCGCGUGGAGGAUGACGCAUUUCGGUGUGUAAACUCCUUUUAUUAGGGAAGAUUAUGACGGUACCUAAUGAAUAAGCACCGGCUAACUCCGUGCCAGCAGCCGCGGUAAUACGGAGGGUGCAAGCGUUACUCGGAAUCACUGGGCGUAAAGGGUGCGUAGGCUGGCUUCUAAGUCAGAUGUGAAAUCCAAUGGCUCAACCAUUGAACUGCAUUUGAAACUGGGAGCCUAGAGUUCAGAAGGGGCAGAUGGAAUUAGUGGUGUAGGGGUAAAAUCCGUAGAUAUCACUAGGAAUAUCAAAAGCGAAGGCGAUCUGCUGGGAUGAUACUGACGCUGA